GCCUUAUCAUACUUCUACCCUGCUGGCCAAUGGCGCACCUCUCCCCGGCUCACAUGACGCCUUUCUGUGCGCUCCCUGUCCUCUCAGCGCGCAAUCCCGGCGAGUGCAGGCAUCACUGAAGACCUGACAUCGACGGAAUCGGACGUCCACUGUCCUCACCACGGGCGACGAGGUGAUAUCUUUACGCGAAGCGCACCUCCCUACGAUGAAGCAGAGCUCUGUCGAUGGGGAUGACCCGCGCCUUGCUUCAGGAAGACACUUUUUUGUCCCUGUCCGAGCGGAAAGACGCAGCGGCGAACCAGUAACGCCCAGAACUUAUUGAAAUGAAUUGUCUUAAAAAGAUGCUGGCACAAGGAUAGUGCUUUCUGCGUGUUGGCCCUCACCAAAAAGAAGAAGGAAGCAGUUGCAGAGAAGAGAUUAAAGAGAUGUCCAGACAUGAAGGAGGCACGCAAGCGUACACACACGCUCAGCGAAAUGGCACCUUGAGGCUGUCUGCGGUCUACCACCACCCCACCCCAUUCACACACACACACACCUACACACACACACAACUGUUACAGUAAAGGAAGAGACCACCGAGUCAGAAAGAUAAUAAUAACGGAAACGCUUGAAAACAAACCCAUUAUCCACCCUUGUUUUCUUCAUUGAAUUCAAUGUUUUAAUCAAAUGAGCAUGUGAUUCAUUAGGACAAGUUGGAUUGUCUGUUCUACACUUUAAGUAGUUUUUUUUAAUAAAAAAAAAAACUAAUUUAUACAAAUUCUUGAUCUAUUUGAGCCUUUAUGUUCAUGCUCCAUUUUUUUCUGUCACUCAAAAUCUGUCUUGACAGGUUUAACAGCUCCACAUCUGUUUCAACCCUCCACAACCAAUUCAUGUGACCCACCCAGAGUCCCUCCCAGGCUUCCCAGCUUCCUGCAAAGUAUACCUCUAAAAGAAAAAUGACUGGGGAAAAAAACUCUUGCGUGCUAAAUUUAUGGUGCAGCAUUGCGGGAAAACCCUCCCUCGCUGUCUUAGUAUUCACUUUCGUCCUACUCCUUCUCUACUUUGACUGAGUUUGAGAAAACUUCUUUCAAACGAAAAUAAAAUGCUUUUCAUACUAGUUUGCAUCCCCAAUGUUGUACUCUAAAUUUAGAGCAAGGGCUGCAAGAUACAAAAUUAGCUUUUCUUUUCAAUAAUGUUUGCUUAAAAUUCCUUGGCUUUAACUGGUACACAUCAUUUCUAACAGAAAUUUCUAAAGAAAAUUCCUCAUCAGUAUAAAAACACUGAUUCGUUUCAAAGAACAUUUCCUUUAUAACUUCUAAAAAUACCUUACUUAGAAUGGGUGUAAAAUAACACGCAGGAUGAGCUGAGAUGGAAUAAAGAAAAGCUUGGUUUCUACAGCUUAAACUGUGUCAUAAAAUCAGCGCAGCAUGUUUAAAUGCAGCUUAAAUAGGAAAAGUGCAUCAUUUACUCCCAGCUUUAGGUUAACUGACGGCCCCACCCUCACAGCGGCCGUGUCACUAACCAGCACUAAUGAUACACUCCAUCAUUCCAGCUCCCUCUGCACAGGGGCUAGCUUGGUUAACCGUCGGCCGAGGGUGUGUGUGUGUGGGUGUGUGUGUGUGUGGAUACAUGCUUCGGCUAUCAAAGCACUUUAGAAUCAGAGAGCGAAGAACUCACACUGCUAAUGGAUGUGUCUAUUGAUGUUCCUAUUUAGCAGCUCACUGUAAACGAUAGGGCAAUGAUUGUGUUGAAGAUGGAAGGAGGAGGAGGAGGACUGGGGGAAGAAGAGCGGUUUGGCUGGGUGAUGAUAAUGACAAGGAAGGUUAUUAUUUGGCGCCCUAUGGAGUCUCCUAACUGUGUGUGUGUGUGUGUUGCGAAACAGAAAGAGAGGCAAGCCCACUCUUCCGUUCAUGUCUGUCCGUCCUCCUGCAGCCUGUUGUCUGUAACUCCCUUCUUGCUGCGUCUCUGCCUGCUUGCUCCUUUUAUCAAAUGACUACUGCUGCUCUUCAUUCACUUGUGACUGCAAUUUUUUAGGCCUAUCUCAGAUUUCAACAUCUUCUUUAAUUGAAUAAAAAAAAAGCAAAUAUGGUUUUUAACAGCAUGCUAAAGGCAGUAGGUUAAAUACAACUUAGCUCCUUGUUUUUAAAACCAAAAAAUACAACUUGUACUUGAAAUAAUAAUUGGCCAACAAGUACAUACUUCUUGUUCUGUUUUUGUCUUUAGUCCGGCUUUGUGUAUGUGUCAUGUCAGUUCCAGUAAUUGUGUGUGUAACGAAUACGAAAACAGUCAGCCUGUCAGCAGGUUUGGCAGGAGAGCACCUCCAGCUGGACUUAGACCCCAGCUCAGGUGUGUCUGUGUGUGUUCUGUGAGCGUGGCAUGUCUGUUCACAUCUGUCAGUGCAGGGACAACCUCAGGAAGAAGCAACCAAA
Oryzias latipes (Japanese medaka) is the source of this 2408-nucleotide long non-coding RNA. RefSeq lists it as uncharacterized. Lineage: Eukaryota; Metazoa; Chordata; Actinopteri; Beloniformes; Adrianichthyidae. The record is from RefSeq and is a predicted model, not a curated record.